AUGGUGGUUUUCAAUUCACCUUUGUUGCAUAUUCAAGGAGGGCGUACCCAUACAUGCGUUGUGAACCCGCUUAUAUAAGGCACUUACCAUGCAUCCGGAAAGUAUUCACAGUGCUUCA
Molecule: long non-coding RNA, 118 nt
Organism: Thalassophryne amazonica
Lineage: Eukaryota; Metazoa; Chordata; Actinopteri; Batrachoidiformes; Batrachoididae
Exons: 3
Source: RefSeq, a predicted model, not a curated record